This 383-nucleotide ribosomal RNA is filed under the name uncultured Leptolinea sp. RNAcentral's name for it is "bacterial SSU rRNA". It matches the Rfam family "Bacterial small subunit ribosomal RNA", at positions 980 to 1382 of the family's 1533-position model. The record is from RNAcentral. Lineage: Bacteria; Bacillati; Chloroflexota; Anaerolineae; Anaerolineales; Anaerolineaceae.
UUUGACAUACAAGUAGUAGGAAGGAAACUGGACGACCUUCGGGAGCUUGUACAGGUGCUGCAUGGCUGUCGUCAGCUCGUGUCGUGAGAUGUUCGGUUAAGUCCGCUAACGAGCGCAACCCUCGUCGUGUGUUAUACGUGUCACACGAUACUGCCGGUAUCAAGCCGGAGGAAGUGGGGAUGAUGUCAAGUCAGCAUGGCCUUUAUAUCCUGGGCUACACACACGCUACAAUGGCAGAUACAAUAGGUUGCGAAACCGCGAGGUGGAGCCAAUCCUCAAAGUCUGUCUCAGUUCAGAUUGUAGGCUGCAACUCGCCUGCAUGAAGUUGGAGUUGCUAGUAAACGCAGGUCAGCUAUACUGCGUUGAAUACGUUCCCGGGGUUU